Molecule: long non-coding RNA, 2819 nt
Organism: Heterocephalus glaber (naked mole-rat)
Lineage: Eukaryota; Metazoa; Chordata; Mammalia; Rodentia; Bathyergidae
Source: Ensembl
CUUCCCCGAAGCCACCCUCGAUGCCGGCCCAGGGUCCGGACCAAGAGUCCUGCAGUCCCUCCGCCCCCUGUCUGCUGAAGCCAGAAGGGCAGCCUAGAGUCCUGCGGAAACCACCGCCUCCCACAGCUGUUUCUCUGUCUUCCUGUCUUGUUCUAAAUCUUAUUCUCCGGCUGCCCUUUCAUGUGCCAAAAAAGCUACAGGAAGCCUAGUUAAGGGAGAUACUGGGCGUGGCGGCACUCACCUGUCAUCCCGGCCCUCUGGGAGGCUGAGGCAGGAGGGUCACAAGGCGAUGUAGUGACUUAGGAAGAGGAGAUAAAACAAGGCUGAGGCUGCAGCUGAGGGCAAAGGCCAUGGGUUCGAUGCCGAGUGCCGCGCAUGCGCGCAACACACACACACGGAAACAGAAGCUGUGGAACAAGCGGCGAGGCAUAGACCUGCACGGCGGCCGGCGAUGGCUGGGUCGCAGGACCGAGCAGCGUCGUGGUCACGUGCGGCUUCGCGGCUGUCAUUUCUACCAUUUCCUCUCCCUUUGCCCAGAAACCCGAGAACCGGGCAGCAGAGGCCCCGGGAGAGCGCGGGCCCCGGGCAAAGAUUCGGCCCUCGCGGGGAGAAGGACGCGGCUGCUCCACGCAGGCUCCUGGCUCGGCCUCCCCGCCCCUGGUUCCACGGACGGCCUUUCCCGCCUCUGCGGGGGACCUGAGGCAAGUGGGCCCUCCGUGUCCUCGGGGCCAGCCUUGAGUAAGCCCUUUGUCCUUUUUGCUCAGAUAGGUGGCCUCCGGCCUGGUCAGUGGCGAGCAGAGAAACCUGAGAACGUCCGCCUAAUCAGCCAGCCACAGUGGCGCACGCCCAUGACACCAGCACGCAAGAGGCUGAGGCGGGAGAAUCACCACGAGUUGGAGGCCAGCCUGGGCUACAUAGCAAGACCGCGUCAACAACAAAAAGAAGAAGAUGGACCUCAGGGUCCCCGCACUCCCUGUCCACCGCAGCUGAGACCUGAGGGCAGCCAGGCGUCCAGCGCGGGCGGGCGGGGAGGAGACGCCGGGCGCAGGCCGGGUGGCUGGGCUGCCCGGAAGUGAAGGGGCGGAGCCACAGCCGGGCACUUCCGGCUGCAGCGGGUCACAGUACCGUGCCAGGCGCUCAGCCCCUGCCGCAGUGGUCUCAAUACAAGGAGACACCCUGAGCAAGGGCAGAGGGCAGGGGGCUGAGGGGAAGAUGCGGAGGGGAAGGCUGCACUAUGGAGGCGGAGUCAGCAGGGCCAGUGCCCCCGGCCUGUGAAGCAGCAGGUGAAAGGGCCAGGCGUCAGGACGUCGCCCGAUGUCCUCUCUCCUCCUCCUGCCCCUAGGAAGGCGGGCGGGGAGAGCUCAGGCCCGGGCAGAGGCCGUGCUGGCGCCUGUGUACUGCAGGAACAGACAGGCAGUCCUCACGUGGCACACGGAGGGCACAGCAGGGGCUGUGAGGGGCACGCGUGGCACACAGUCGGCACAGUGGACACCUGCCAGCACCUCCCGCUUCUCAGCGGGCACCUGCAGCCCGGGAUCAGCAUGGCCUGAGGUCACAGCAGGGGGACCCCCAGGCUGCACACAUGGGGGCGCUGGACCCACCGGCCCUUUGUGAGCCGCAGCCUCACUGCUCUCUUCCCAGGAGAUGGUGAAGCCCCUGCCUGGCACCAGGACACAGCCCGGGAGACAACUGGCAGCUGCUCAACCCUCAGGGGCCCGCAGAGCAGCCUUGCUCCCAUUCCUGCCUCCUGUCCAUCCUUCCUGAGCUUUGCGGUGAAGCCCGGGGGCAGAGGCCUCAGCCUAUGCCUCCCUGGGCGGCUAUGGCCCGCACACCGUCCUCCCUGCCUUUGGCCCUUGUCCCUGCUCUGGCUAAGGCACCCGGCAGAAUGCCGCCGCCACGCCUCGCCCUGGAGGUGGCCUUGCACCCGUAGAAGCAGGGUUCCUACUGUGAAGCUGGUCCCAUGAACUUGCUGCCUGCCCAGUUCUCCUCCUCUUCCUGUAGCUCCUUUGGGCUUUUCUCCUGGACAGCGCUGGCCAGGAGGACUCGGUGGCCCGACCCUCCUCCCCAGGCGGUGCGCCCCUGGGUCUUCUCCUUUCCCUGCUGUGCUGGCCAGGAGCGCGGAUCCCAAAGACCCUGGCUGAGGCUGCCACAGACCGCAGAGGGCACAGCAGGUGUCUUCCUGGUCCCAGCGUGCCACCCUCUCCACGGGCCCAGGCCAGCUGGACGGAGCCGUCAGCUGGAGAAGGAACAGUUGCUGAGCAGAUGGCAGCCGUCACUCCUCCCCGUGUCUGCACCGUUGGAGCCCAAGGCGCCCACUGCUUCCAGGUGUCCUGACCCCCACACCUGUGUGACCCAGACGGGCAGCACCACAGUCACCUCAGACCCCUCUCAGCAAGGUGACUCUGAGGCCCAACCCGAGGCGGCGUCUUCCCGGAAGGUGGGUCCAGACUUCUACCUGCUUCCGCCAGCAACCCUGCCACGGAUUCCCGUCUCAUUCACUGCCACAGGAAUGUGAAUGACCCUGUUUCCGGAGAGGCUGGCUGAAUGCUCCUUCUGUAGUCCCUGGGGCCGAGCCUGUGGGAGAACAGUUCCGCUGGACUCUUGUCACUGCGGCAGGGACUGCGAGACUCCAACAGUGGGUCCCCUGGCUCCCCUGGGUGGCUCAGACCCAGCCUGUGGCCUGCAGCUCCACCAGACAGCAGCUACUGCUGCUGCUAAGUGUUCUUUCAUUGUCAAGUUAAUUUCUCUGUUUUCCUUUCUUACGUAUUUCAUGGGAUAUUUUUUUAAAAUAAAAAAAUAAAGUCCAUUCCUUUGUUGAA